RNAcentral lists this ribosomal RNA (369 nucleotides) under uncultured Glomeromycotina. RNAcentral's name for it is "eukaryotic LSU rRNA". Lineage: Eukaryota; Fungi; Glomeromycota. The record is from RNAcentral.
UUGAAAGGGAAACGAUUGAAGUCAGUCGUGCUGGCGCGAAAUCAGCUCGACCACUCGGGGAUCACGAGCCGUAGCGAGCCUCAAAACCGCUACGACUCGUGAUUUCUUGGUGGCCUGGUGCACUUUCGUGUCGGCUGGUUAACAUCAAUUUCGAUCGUCAUAAAAAGGCUGGAGGGAUGUGGCUCCUUCGGGAGUGUUAUAACCUUUAGCGGAAUGUGGUGGUCGGGAUUGAGGCUUGCAACGAAUACCUUCAGGGCUGUUCCACCUGGCCUCUCAUCGGCAUCCUGGCGGCGACAGCUUGCUGACGUUGUUAGGAUCAGCUUUCGAACAGGCUAGAGUGUGAGCAAAUUCGUUAAGGAUGUUGACGUA